CAGGCGAGCACGCUACUGCUUGAGCCACAUCCCCAGCCCCUCAUAUAAAGAUCUUGAUGCAAAAUAAUUUGUUUGGAAUACUUGAGAAAAUGCACUAACUGAAGGAAAUGUGCUAAUUAUAAAUAUGUGGGCUCAUCAGGUGCUCAGCCUUUCUGAUUUAUAAGGGUAGGGUUUAUUUUCUCAACUGAAUGUAAGCUGUGAAGGGCGUGGUCAUGUUUUAUAAAUAUCUCUGCCACCUCAGUUCCAAAGCCUGCUCACUCUGGAGGGAUGAGAGUGUAUAGCUCUGAACCAGGCGUUGGGACUCUGGUCUGAGUCGUCUCUGCCUCUGCCGACUGCAGCAUCCAGGAGUCUAUUAACUACCUUUGGCCUCACAUGAAAUAGAGGUGAGGCUUUGUCCCACCAAACUCUCUUAAACAACAAGGUGAAUAAGAAAGCUCUGGGGGUUGUGAGGCUAGAUGCAAAAUGAGAGGAGUUGAUAUUGUUCUGUUUCCAUCAGAAGGCAGUGGUUCCAUACAGAGUUGGAAUGCUCUUAGUGGAAAAGGGAUGACGGUGCAACUUGUGAACUCCAAAUGGACGUUCAGCCUUUAACCAAAGAGCUUCAACUGUGGGUUAGAACACACAACACACUGUACUCUGGCUAACCAGGAGACUGUGUCUCCUUUAAUGAGUGUGGACUUCUCCACGGGUAAGGUAGAAGAGGCCACAUUCUGAGUGUCAGUGACUACAGGUGGUUGAGGAUUCCCUUGGGCCCAGGUGAUGAGGGCCAACCAACUGUGAGGACACUGUGCUCCCUCUCUCUUUCUUUGGCUCUAGCUUACGCUGACACUGACCUGGGUGAAGUUGGCUGCUCUCCACUGCAGAGAGGGUGCUGCCUCUGGAAUGGUGAGAGCCAGAGGCUGAGCGGCCCUUUCCACUGUUCCCAUGUCUGCUGGGAGUAGCUUCAUUGUGGGUUUCUCCCUUCCAUGGAUUGUGGUGCUGGCAUGGGGGAGCCAUAGCUGAGUUCCCUAGAGUGGCCACUGCCAUGGUGGUGUGACUCUUGUCUAGUGUGUGUGUCUUGUGAGAGUUGGGCAACCAGAAUAUCCAUAUUGUCCACCAGGAGAUCUCUGAUAUCCCCGCUGGAGGCAUUGCUGGACAAUUUGAAGGUCUAUUCAUCCUCGUUACCUUGUGGACUGUGGGGCUGCCCUUAGCAUGGCCAUAGGAGACCAGGCUCUAGGGGAGGUUAUAGCUGUCAUCGCUGAACUCUGUUGUGCCACUAUGGCAACAGGAGGCUGCAAAAAACUCAGAUUUGACACAGACACUGGAAUAGUGCCCAUGGCACUGGGAAACCUGUGUGGCCACGUCACUCCUCAAGAAGAAAAGGGUCCUGGUGCCCUGAUAAACUGGCCCUGCAAUUUCUUCCCUGGCUCAUGCACUGAUGAAAGCAGAGGUGCCCCUGAGGGCCUCUGCCUCUGUCUGGGCUGUGCGUCCUCCCACACAGGGAUCUGAUGUGAGUAAAGUGGGUUGAUUGCAGUGUGACGAGGCAGAGCAUUCUGUGUCUUGAAGAGAUGGUGAUUGGAGCUGCUGAGCUCACCUGAAGGGUAGGGAGUCCUGAAUGACUGAGGAAAGGUUUCUUCGGGAGUUCAGCACCCCAGAUACUUCGCAGGCAGCAGUUUCUUCAGACAGCCAAGAACACUGUGGCUGGUGCUCGGGCUUCUGUAGGUGAGCACAAAACUUAGGGGCAGGAUCCCAAGCCAGGAGGUGGUUUCCUGUUCAAGGGCCUGACCACACAGCUAGGACCAGCUGUAUUCCCAAACACAGUUCCUGACUCCCAGGCCUCUGGAAGAAUGCCCGCUCUGCCCCAGGCUUUGGAAACCUGAGGCAAAUUGUGAAGACCACAGAAGGCCUUGGUCAUCCCUGGUAGUGUGGCAUAAAAGGAGGCUCACUCUUCUUUUUUGUUGUGGUUGGUGGUAGCAGGGGUGGUGUUACUGGGAAUUGGAUCCAGGGAUGCUUUACCAUCCCCAGCCAUUUUUAACCAUUUUUUGUUGUUGUUGUUGUUGUAGAUUGACAAAAUAUCUUUAUUUAUUUGUUUUUAUGUGGCACUAAGGAUCGAACCCAGUGGCUCACAUAUGAUAGACAAGUGCUCUACCGCUGAGCUACAACCCCAGCCCAUAACCCUUAUCUUGAGACAGGGUCUUGCUAAGUUUCUUAGGGCUUCACUAAGUUGCUGAAGCUGGGCUGGCUAGCCUUGAACUUGUGCUCCUCCUGCCGUGGCCUCCCAAAUCGCUGGGAUUACAGACAUGAGCCAUUGCAACCAAUAGCUCUUUUUUUUUUUUUUUUAACAUUUAUUUUUUAGGUGUAAAUGGACACAACACAAUGGUGUUGAGGAUCCAACCUGGGUCCUGCCCGUGCUAGGCAAGCACUCUACUGCUAAGCCACAAUCCCAGCCCCAAGCUCAUUCUUAAUAUAGAUCUCCACACUAUGUUUGUCUAAUUUUUAUUCAUGAAAAUAAAGUUUGCGGUGACAUACUUAUGCAAGUUUUAUUUAGGUAAUAAUGGAUGAAUUUAAAUUCUAUGUAGUUUUAAAAUAACUAUGGUUAGUAGACUAAUGAAAAAUUAGUUUUUGUUGGGAUUUUCCUAUUGGUCUCAUGUAACAGGUUUUUACCCUUUUUAUAUAUAUAUGUAUAUAUAUAUGUAUAUACAUAUAUACACAUUUGUUUGGGGGGGACAAAAGACUUUUUACAUCAAUUUUGUAUUUUUUACUUUUUUUUGGUACCAAAAACUGAACCCCCAAGGAUGUUUAACUAUUGAGGCACAUACCCAGACCUUUUUAUUUUUAAGACGGGGUCUCACCAAGUUGCUUAGGGCCUCAAUAAGUUGCUGAGGCUGGCUUUGAACUUGAGAUCCUCCUGGUUCAGUCUCCCAAGCAGCUGUGUGCUUGCCUCCACACCAGCUUAUAAAUUUUUCACUUUUUGAUGUCCAGUUUCCUCAACAUGAUUUCUAUACAUGAUUUUUAGAGUUUCCUCAGUGUUUCAAACAGCUUAUAGAUUGAAAAAUAUCAUCUUUGGGCUGGGGAUGUGGCUCAGGGGUAGUGCACUUUCCUGGCAUGUAUGAGGCCUUGGGUUUGAUCCACAUUUCCACCAAGAAAAGAAAGAAAUAUUGCCAGGCACAGAGGCGCACGCCUGUAAUCCCAGUGGCUCUGGAGGCUGAGACAGGAGGGUUGCAAGUUCAAAGCCAGCCUCAGCAAAAAGCCAGGCACGAAGCAACUCAGUGAGACCCUGUCUCUAAAUAAAAUGCAAAAUAGGGCUGGGGAUGUGGCUCAGUGGUCGAGUGCCCCUGAGUUCAAUCCCCAGUACCCAGGGGGGAAAAAAAAAUUAUUACUUCAAGAGCCUUGCAAAAUCAGAUGGCUAGAUUUGGCCUGCAGACCACAGUUUGAUGACUAAGAGACUUUUAGUGAGGCCAUGGAAGAGUUAAAAAACAAGUAGCAAAGACCAGGACUAUUAGACUUUGUAACUUUUUGCUGAUUUACAUAGCUUUUUAAAUUUCAAAUUCCAUUUUAUUUGACCUUCAUGUUGGUGUACCAAAGGUGUCCAUUUGCUUGGUGAUUGAUUAGAAUUAUUUAGCAGAAAUGAAAAUAGAGAGAACCUGUGUUUAGGGCUGGAGCUUGGGCUGUAAGUGGUGAAGCACUUGCCUCACAUGUGUGAGGUACUGGGUUCAAUCCUCAGCACCACAUAAAAGUAAUUUUUUUUAAUAUUGUUCAGUUGUUAAACACACAUAUAUUGUGUCCAUCUGCAACUAAUAUUUUUUUUUAAAAAAAGAACCUACAUUUAGUUAUUGCAUACCAAAAUAAAAUUAUUUAGUUCCAAGUAAGACCAGAGUAUUAGAAUCAAACAUAAGAGAGUUAAACCUUUUUUAAACUAUGUAAAGUCCUAUUUAUAUAUGAAAAGCCAGUUAAGGUGACUCGCACUAUUGGUUUCACUAAGCCAAAGAGACUUCAGCAUCUUCAGGAUGUCUUUUAAAAUUAAUUUUUAAUUUCUUUUUUGGCUUGUUUCAAAUGUAUUUUGCUUUUUAAAAUUUUAUGUGGGGUGCACAAAACCAUAAAAAUUAUACACAUGAAUGGGGUAACGUAAUGUCCCAAUGUGUACACACUGUAUCGUAUUAAAAUCAGGUUGAAACAUGUUCCCCCUUACAGGUUUUUUAUAUUCGUGGUGAAAGCUUUCAGUACCCUUACUUCUAGAUUUUUGGAUCUAGUGUGUGAUCAUUUUCAGUGAUUACUGUACUGUGCAUACAGCAUCCCUACGGCUUCUUGCUCAUCUCUGCCGUAGUGCCUGUUGGUCAGUCUCCCCAUGCCCACUAACAUCCCCAACCUUUGGUGGCCUCCACUUUCGUGUCAACUUCUAUGAGAUCAGCUUUUUUUAAUAUAUAUUGUUUAGUUGUCAAUGGAUCUUUAUUUUAUUUAUUUACAUGUGGUGCUGAGAAUCAAACCCAGUGCCUCACACAUGCUAAGCAAGUGCCCUAAGCAAGUGCCCUACCCCUGAACCCCAGCCCCAGCCCGAGAUCAGCUUUUUUAGAAUCCAUGUAUGAGUAACAUUGUGCAGCACUUGAGUGUGCCUGCCUGUUUCACCCAGUGUCAUAAUCUCCAUUUCAAUCCAUGUUGUUAGAAAUGACAGAAAAAUGAAUUUCUUCCUUCCUCUUUUUCUAUCUUCCUUCUCUCUCAUGUCUUUCCUUCUUUCCCCAGCACCUCCUGCAUGCCAGGCAAGUGCUUUACCACUGAACUACAUCCCCCAACACUGAUUUCAUUCCUUUAAUGGCUGAAUAGUCUGCCAUUGUAAACAUGUACCACAUGUGCCUUACCACUCAUCUGUUGUUGUUUCUAUAUCUUUGCUGUUGUGACUAGUGCUGUGAGGAAUAUGGUAGUAGAAAUGUCUUCUGAAUUCUCAUUUCAUUUGGAUAUGGAGGCAGUAGUGGGGUUGCUGGUAUAUAGGUAGUUAUCUAUUUUCAAUUUUUGAAACACCUCCACCUUUUUUCCCAUAAUGACUCUACCAAUUUACUUUCUUACCAAAAGUUUAGAAAGAUCUCAUUUCUCCACAUUCUGGCCAGCACCUACUCUCUUGUCUUUUUUAUAGUAGCCGUUCUUACUAGGGGGACCUAUAGUUCUGUGACGGCUGGUAACGUGGAGCACUUUUUCAUAUACCCUUAGCCACAUGUAGGUCAGCUUUUGAGAAAUGGCUAUUUAGAUGGAUUGACCACUUUUUAAUUGGGUUUAUUUUUGCCUGUUGAGUUUUGGAGUUCUUUGGGUAUUCUUUAUCUCAUCUCCCUGCCAGGUGUGUGUAUUACCAAUAUUUUCUCACGUUCUCUAGAUUGUUUCUCUACUAUGUUGAGUGUUUCAUUUGUUGUACAAAGGCUUUUAAUUUUAACCAAUCCCAUUUUUCUAUUUCUGCCUUCAUUUCCUGUGUUUGGGUUCUUGUCCAAAAAAUGUUUGCCCCCUCCAGUGUCCUGAAGCAUUUUUCCUUAGAUUUUCACUCCACGCCACUCCUUUUUUUGUACUGGGAAUUGAACUCAGGGGCACUUAGCCACUAAACCAUGUCCCCAGCCCUUUUUUUUAUUUUAUUUAGAGACAGGGCCUCACUGAGUUGCUUGGGGCCUCGCUAAAUUGCUGAAGCUGGCUUUGAACUCAUGAUCUUCCUGCCUCAGCCUCCUGAGCCACUGGGAUCACAGACACAUGACCCAGCCCAUUUUCACUCCUUAGAUCCAGCUCUUAACAUUUAAGUCUUCACUCCAUUUUGAGUUGAUGUUUAUAACUGGUGAGAAAAACAGGUCUAGCUUCAUUCUGAAUUGAAAAUCCAAAUUUUCCCACUAACCUGUGCUAAAAAGACAGCCUUUUUCCAGUACAGAUUCUCAGCACCUUUCUCAUAAAUCAGUUGGCUGUAGAUUUUCAUUGGUCUGUGUGUCUCUGUGCGCCACUGCCAUGCUCUUUUGAUUACUAUAGCUUUCUAGUAUGUUUUGAAGUGAGGAAGCAUUACUCUUCCUGCUUUGUACUUUUUGUCAAAAUGUCCCUAGCUAUUCAUGUUAUUUCUGAUACCAUAAACAUUAAGAUUGUUUUUUUUCUAGAUCUGUGAAAAAUGCCAUUGACUUUUGAUCUGAAUAGCAUUGAAUUUGUAAAUCAUUUCCGGUAAAAUGGACUUUUAAACAAUAUUGAUUCUUCUGAUUCAAGAUGACACAAGAUGUCUUUUCAUUUUUUGGUAUCUUCCCCAAUUUCUUUCAUCAGUGUUUUAUAAUUUUCAUUUUGGAAAAUUAUUCCUAGAUAUAUGUUCUUUAUUUUCUUGUAGAUAUUGUUAAUAAAAU
This 6320-nucleotide long non-coding RNA is filed under the name Marmota monax (woodchuck). The record is from RNAcentral. Lineage: Eukaryota; Metazoa; Chordata; Mammalia; Rodentia; Sciuridae.